RNAcentral lists this long non-coding RNA (1844 nucleotides) under Scleropages formosus (Asian bonytongue). Its description in RNAcentral is "lncRNA (ENSSFOG00015024318.1)". The record is from RNAcentral. Lineage: Eukaryota; Metazoa; Chordata; Actinopteri; Osteoglossiformes; Osteoglossidae.
CGAGAAAUGUUUAUGCUGCAAAAACACAUUUUCCAGAAAAGGCCAGUAAAUAUGGUGUUUAUUAUUUUUUUUUUGCUCGCAGACAGUACACAGCUUGUACUCGUAAGGGGAGCAGUGUUUUCAGAGGACUGCUUCAAGUACUGGAAUAACCACUCCUUGCACUUUGCCACAAUGACGUCAAAGCAGGACGCCCCGUUCUCCGAAGACGGAAGAAGACACGGAGAGUUUGUCGUGAACCAGUACACAUCCUCACCUUCUUUAAUUGGCACGUCUCGUCGGGACACGUGCAGUUCGGUGUGUGUCUGCGUUUUACAGUUCUUGCCCCACUCUUGACAGCCAGCUGUUGCGAGAUCUGCUGCCGCUCGCUGUUCAUGGUGUCCCCCCUUUUUUGUGUAGAUAAAAGAAUAUUGACCCUGAUAGCCAUACUGAUGGACAACUUCACCCUUCAUCCUCUUAAAGGUGUCUUUCACAUUUUGGUCUACGGUCAUUUUCCCCGAGUUGGUUAGGUCCCCCGGUAUGGCAGCGUCAAGUUCUCUAUACGUUUCGUAAAUGUUUCGCCACGAGAGUGUCUUGUUAUUUAGUUUAUCUCUUAGGAACUGAAGAUGCUGCUGCUUUCUUAAUAUCCUCUGCCUUUCUUCAGAACUCUUUGUGGUUUUGGGACCCACAGCUGCAGUUUCUCUUGCUGGAGAUGAACUUGUUGGAGGAGAGGGUUUUUCAGGUAUCACUCCUUGUGUUGCUGGAGACGGGCUCCUCCCUGCACUUCCAGAUGAUGGUCCUGGUACCGUUGGCGAGUUUGCUGUUGAAGGUCCGUCACCAGGCGCUUCAGAAACUCGUUCAUCGUCGUCAGCAGGACGGUGACGGCGACAGCAACAGCAAAGCAAUCUGAGGAGUCGUCCAAGUUGCCUUUUUUCUCUUUCUUCUAAAAUGUCUUCGAAGUGGAGUUCCGCAGGAUUCGGGUUGAUUCCGCCUUCAUCGCUGGAGAUGUCCGAGGCUCCACUGACACUCGUGCAAAGGUCUAGGCAGGAGUUGAGCAGAAGGAGAAGGAGAAUCCAGGAGCUUGCAGAGCACCGCAGGAACAUCAUGUUGCCACAGCUCGAUGUUGUUACUGCGAACUAGAGCAGCGAACAGCCUUUUAUUGGGGCCCUUAUGCAUAUUAACAUGACUCAGAUCUUUGGACAUUUGCUUAACUCACAGUUCAGCGGAGGGGAGACACAUAGUAAAGUGACCAUGAGUUCACUGACAUUGACAUUGUUGCAAUAUGAGCCGCCGUUGUAUGAAAUCAAGUGCAGUUAAACAAUGAAGGCGGUUCUGCGGUAAUGUCUUCUUUUUAAGGUGAACAUGAUACACCGUGUUUACUGUGCACGGUAGGCAAGAUGCCCAGGCUGUGGACCACGCUGUGGUCCUGGUCCAUCAAAUCCACCAGGUUCCUCCCUAAUGUGGGUUCAUAGCACCUCAGUAGGUUUACUGGUUUAUCAAAGAAAUGUUCAACAGUGAAGCAUCUGGUGCGAUUGCAAGAAACCUGUGAAGUUCUGCUGGGUUCUUGUCAGGGUUUUGGGUCUCCAGGGUUUCGUGUCUGAACGGAGGUCUGGCUGGGAACUAUGCGACAGUGGUACAGCGGUAAGUACACUCCGUACAGCAGACAAACACACACCAGGUCACAUCUGCGGGUUAACGUGCAGAGAAAGGUCUCCAGUGACCUCUGUGCUCUAGCAUUUCAUUGAUUUCUGCUCCAUCAAGUGACACGGGGCUUCAGUGACCUUUCUGAUGACCUCACUGUACCAGGUGAAGGUCUUUUCUCCAAAGAAUGAAAAGAGCUGGAGAAAUAAAAAGGAAGGCUGUUAACA